CCCAGACUCCUACGGGAGGCAGCAGUGAGGAAUAUUGGUCAAUGGGCGGGAGCCUGAACCAGCCAAGCCGCGUGAAGGAAGAAGGCGCCAAGCGUCGUAAACUUCUUUUGUCGGGGAACAAAGGGCGCCACGUGUGGCGUUGUGAGUGUACCCGAAGAAAAAGCAUCGGCUAACUCCGUGCCAGCAGCCGCGGUAAUACGGAGGAUGCGAGCGUUAUCCGGAUUUAUUGGGUUUAAAGGGUGCGCAGGCGGAAGAUAAGGUCAGGGGUAAAAUUGAGAGGCACAACCUCUUCGAGCCGUUGAAACUGGUUUUCUUGAGUGAGCGAGAAGUAUGCGGAAUGCGUGGUGUAGCGGUGAAAUGCAUAGAUAUCACGCAGAACUCCGAUUGCGAAGGCAGCAUACCGGCGCUCAACUGACGCUCAUGCACGAAAGUGUGGGUAUCGAACAGGAUUAGAUACCCCAGUA
RNAcentral lists this ribosomal RNA (464 nucleotides) under uncultured bacterium. Its description in RNAcentral is "bacterial SSU rRNA". It matches the Rfam family "Bacterial small subunit ribosomal RNA", at positions 330 to 792 of the family's 1533-position model. The record is from RNAcentral.